RNAcentral lists this unclassified non-coding RNA (253 nucleotides) under uncultured Dehalococcoidia bacterium. RNAcentral describes it as "contains 16S-23S intergenic spacer region". It matches the Rfam family "Bacterial small subunit ribosomal RNA", at positions 524 to 776 of the family's 1533-position model. The record is from RNAcentral. Lineage: Bacteria; Bacillati; Chloroflexota; Dehalococcoidia.
UACGUAGGAUGCAGGCGUUGUCCGGAAUCACUGGGCGUAAAGGGUCCGUAGGCGGUUUGUUAAGUCUCCUGUGAAAACUCAGGGCUCAACCCUGAGAUGUCGGGGGAUACUGGCAAACUCGAGACUGUCAGAGGCAGGUGGAAUUCCCGGUGUAGUGGUGAAAUGCGUAGAUAUCGGGAGGAACACCAGUGGCGAAAGCGGCCUGCUGGGACAGUUCUGACGCUGAGGGACGAAAGUGUGGGUAGCAAACCGG